RNAcentral lists this ribosomal RNA (117 nucleotides) under Felis catus (domestic cat). Lineage: Eukaryota; Metazoa; Chordata; Mammalia; Carnivora; Felidae. The record is from RNAcentral.
GUCUACGGCCAUACCACCCUGAACGCGCCCGAUCUCGUCUGAUCUCGGAAGCUAAGCAGGGUCGGGCCUGGUUAGUACUUGGAUGGGAGAAUAUGAGAGAAAGUGUGACUAUUCAUA